Molecule: ribosomal RNA, 492 nt
Filed under: uncultured bacterium
Lineage: Bacteria
Description: partial 16S ribosomal RNA
Rfam family: Bacterial small subunit ribosomal RNA
Source: RNAcentral
AGUGAACGCUGGCGGUAGGCCUAACACAUGCAAGUCGAACGGCAGCACAGUAAGAGCUUGCUCUUACGGGUGGCGAGUGGCGGACGGGUGAGGAAUACAUCGGAAUCUACUUUUUCGUGGGGGAUAACGUAGGGAAACUUACGCUAAUACCGAAUACGACCUACGGGUGAAAGCAGGAGAUCUUCGGACCUUGCGCGAUUGAAUGAGCCGAUGUCGGAUUACCUAGUUUGCGGGGUAAAGGCCCACCAAGGCGACGAUCCGUAGCUGGUCUGAGAAGAUGGUCAGGCACACUUGAACUGAGACACGGUACAGACUCCUACGGGAGGCAGGAGUGAGGGAUAUUUGACAAUGGGCGCAAGGCUGAUCCAGCCAUACCGCGUGGGUGGAGGAGGCCUUCGGGUUGUAAAGCCCUUGUGGUGGGAAAGAAAAACAGCAGGUUAAUACCCCGCUGUUCUGACGGUACCCAAAGAAUAAGCACCGGCUAACUUAGUG